RNAcentral lists this ribosomal RNA (332 nucleotides) under uncultured eukaryote. Its description in RNAcentral is "partial 18S ribosomal RNA". It matches the Rfam family "Eukaryotic small subunit ribosomal RNA", at positions 1470 to 1796 of the family's 1831-position model. The record is from RNAcentral.
CCCUUAGAUGUUCUGGGCUGCACACGUGCUACACUGGCAGGUUCAGCGAGCUUCAUGCCCUGAUCUGAAAGGAAUGGGAAAUCUUUUCAAAACCUGCCGUGCUUGGGAUAGAUGUUUGCAAUUAUUCAUCUUCAACGAGGAUUGCCUUGUAAGCGCACGUCAUCAGCGUGCAUUGAAUACGACCCUGUAUUCUGUACACACCGCCCGUCGCUCCUACCGAUUGAAGUUUUCGGUGAGUUGACAGGAGGAUUUUUUCGAAACUGGUUCGCCAGUGGAUUUUAGAUCCAAAUGCCAACGAAUCGAUGGCUUUAGAGGAAGGAGAAGUCGUAACA